Novosphingobium sp. ST904 is the source of this 112-nucleotide regulatory RNA element. It matches the Rfam family "SAM-I/IV (S-adenosyl methionine) riboswitch aptamer". Rfam says of the family: It is found upstream of a number of genes which code for proteins involved in methionine or cysteine biosynthesis. It has been found mostly in the order Actinomycetales. The record is from Rfam. Lineage: Bacteria; Pseudomonadati; Pseudomonadota; Alphaproteobacteria; Sphingomonadales; Sphingomonadaceae.
CCCCAGCAUCAAGAGUCGGGAUAAUGCCCGGCACCAACCUGCUCCCGAGCAAGGUGGUACCUUCGCAGACAUGCGAAGGGAUGUGGCCGGACCGGCAACAAACGGGUUUUCC